AUGAACGUAUGAUUAACUUUAGACCAAUCAAUAUAUUAAGGGUAAUUGUGGAAUUUUAUAUAUAACUAUUUUAAUAGUUAAAAAUAAAUAGCAUUUAUGUUACUUAAAUCAUGGGACAAUUAUCUUUUUAGCCUAAAUACCCAUUUUUACUUAUUUCUUGAAGACAUCGUCUUCUUUAUCCACAACAAACAUCAUCGGCUUUAUUUCCUUACCCCUCCUCACACCGGCCGGUUGCUUCUUCCCCUUCGCACACUGACCACCACCAUCUGCUUCUUCUCUUUUGUCGCCGCCGAUCAAGAUAGUAGCAAGUACGCUUAUUUAUUAUUUUCUUUUUUCUUUUGGCUCAAAUUGUUAUUUUUUUUGCUUCUUCCUGUGUUUUCUUCUCUCGGUUUCAUGAGAAAUCAAGAUUCAUUGAUUAUUUAGAGUUUUUAUUUGGAAGUCCAUCAAUUAUGUAUUUGUAUUCGGAAGUAGAAGGGACGGAUCGAGCGCGGCAAAGGAGAAAAAAGAAAAAAAAAAGAAUAUAUCAUGCCUAAUGAAGAUGAGAGAAAAAAAAGAUCACUUUCAAUAAAGAAAUAUAUGUUUAGAAUCUUAUCCUACCAGUUUGUGAUAUAAAGAAUCAACAACGAUGUCACCAUCAUCAUCUUCUGCAACAUCUACAAAGAACAACUACACACCUUGAUUGACAAAAAAAAUAAAAAAGAUCUACCAUGAUCGCUAUCCUUGUAUGCCAAAAAAUCAAUGAUCUUUUACACAAUUGUUACAAAUUAUAGACGUAAUUUCCAUUGGUUUCGUGAUUACAAAUCACAAACCUUAUAAUCAUUUUUAAUCGUUUCACAAGUUUGAUUUCCAUAUUUUCUGAUAUCGAGUUUACUCUUUUAGACUGAAGUUAUAGAUUGUCAGAUUUUGUACUUGUAACAGCACAGGUUUGAUUUGUAGUUAGUCAGAUUUUGUACUUGUAAUUUACAUUCUUCUUUUAUUUUGAUGUAUUUUUCUUAAAGAAUGUCUUUUAUUUUUUGAACAAAGUAAAACUGUUCUUAAAGAAUGUCAUAUAUACUUUUGUAAUU
Molecule: non-coding RNA, 1064 nt
Organism: Lactuca sativa (garden lettuce)
Lineage: Eukaryota; Viridiplantae; Streptophyta; Magnoliopsida; Asterales; Asteraceae
Source: RefSeq, a predicted model, not a curated record